CCUACGGGUGGCAGCAGUGAGGAAUAUUGGUCAAUGGGCGCGAGCCUGAACCAGCCAAGUCGCGUGAGGGAAGACGGUCCUAUGGAUUGUAAACCUCUUUUGUCGGGGAGCAAAAGACGCCACUCGUGGCGUUCCGAGAGUACCCGACGAAAAAGCAUCGGCUAACCCCGUGCCACCAGCCGCGGUAAUACGGAGGAUGCGGGCGUUAUCCGGAUUUAUUGGGUUGAACGGGUGCGCAGGCGGAAGAUCAAGGCAGCGGUAAAGUUGAGGGGCUCAACCUCUUCGAGCCGUUGAAACUGGUUGUCUGGAGUGAGUGAGAAGUAGGCGGAAUGCGUGGUGUAGCAGUGAAAUGCAUAGAGAUCACGAAGAACUCCGAUUGCGAAGGCAGCAUACCGGCGCUCAACUGACGCUCAUGCACGAAAGUGUGGGUAUCGAACAGGAUUAGAUACCCCAGUAGUC
Molecule: ribosomal RNA, 459 nt
Filed under: uncultured bacterium
Lineage: Bacteria
Description: partial 16S ribosomal RNA
Rfam family: Bacterial small subunit ribosomal RNA
Source: RNAcentral